AAUACAGGACACCCAAUUAUAUCUGAAUUUCAGAUAAACAACAAAUAAUUUUUUUAGUAUUAAUAUCUCCCAUGCAAUACUUGGGACAUACUUAUACUAAAAAAAUUAUUUUUUGUUUCUCUGUAACUCAAAUUUAACUGGGCAUCCUAUAUUUU
Molecule: microRNA precursor, 155 nt
Filed under: Tursiops truncatus (common bottlenose dolphin)
Lineage: Eukaryota; Metazoa; Chordata; Mammalia; Artiodactyla; Delphinidae
Description: miRNA (ENSTTRG00000025233.1)
Rfam family: mir-1302 microRNA precursor family (bases 51-102)
Source: RNAcentral